GCCUCGGUAGCUCAGCCCGGAAGAGCGGGUGACUUGUAAUCACCAGGUCGGGGGUUCAAAUCCCCCCCGGGGCU
RNAcentral lists this transfer RNA (74 nucleotides) under Candidatus Mnemosynella sp. RNAcentral's name for it is "tRNA-Thr". It matches the Rfam family "tRNA". From Rfam's summary of the family: Transfer RNA (tRNA) molecules are approximately 80 nucleotides in length. The record is from RNAcentral. Lineage: Archaea; Methanobacteriati; Methanobacteriota; Archaeoglobi; Candidatus Mnemosynellales; Candidatus Mnemosynellaceae.